Molecule: long non-coding RNA, 505 nt
Organism: Gossypium arboreum
Lineage: Eukaryota; Viridiplantae; Streptophyta; Magnoliopsida; Malvales; Malvaceae
Exons: 2
Source: RefSeq, a predicted model, not a curated record
CUCAUGCAUGAACUGAUUUCUGGAAAACCAUAUUAACCAUAAAGCAUAACAGAAGAGUCGGCAUUGAGCGUUGUUACCUCUCUUGAGUACCUAGGACAUCUAUGGAAGAUAUGAAGGCUGUCUUUUGCCCAGGAACAGCAACGGGGACAUUUAUCGUGUGAAAUGACUUUUCUGUACCUGAGAAUAGCAAGAUUAGGAAUAAAAUCCUAGGAAAUUCGCCAAAUAGUGAUUGUGAUUUUUGAAGGUAGUUGUAGGCUCCAUAAUUUCCUGUAAAAUUCUUUAGUUUCGGUCUGUAAUAAAUAAUUACUAGGAUUCGAAAUAGCAUAUUGUAAUAAUUUAUAGGCCCUGUGUACUGAAUACUCGCCAGAUAAUUCUCCUUUCCAAACUUGAGUAUCCUCGUGAUCAGUCUCUGCAAGAGGGAUCUGUAGAAUUUUCUGAGCAAUUUUCGCUUGAAAGGUACUAUUAAUCAAAGCUAUCCUCCAUUUUCUGUUUGUAGUAUCAAUAA